Molecule: ribosomal RNA, 373 nt
Filed under: uncultured bacterium
Lineage: Bacteria
Description: bacterial SSU rRNA
Rfam family: Bacterial small subunit ribosomal RNA
Source: RNAcentral
AUACGGAGGGUGCAAGCGUUAUCCGGAUUUAUUGGGUUUAAAGGGUCCGUAGGCGGACUUAUAAGUCAGUGGUGAAAUCCUGUCGCUUAACGAUAGAACUGCCAUUGAUACUGUAAGUCUUGAGUAUAUUUGAGGUAGCUGGAAUAAGUAGUGUAGCGGUGAAAUGCAUAGAUAUUACUUAGAACACCAAUUGCGAAGGCAGGUUACCAAGAUAUAACUGACGCUGAGGGACGAAAGCGUGGGGAGCGAACAGGAUUAGAUACCCUGGUAGUCCACGCUGUAAACGAUGCUAACUCGUUUUUGGUACUUCGGUAUCAGAGACCAAGCGAAAGUGAUAAGUUAGCCACCUGGGGAGUACGCUCGCAAGAGUGAA